AGAGUUUGAUCCUGGCUCAGGAUGAACGCUGGCGGCGUGCCUAACACAUGCAAGUCGAGCGAUUUACUUCUGUAAAGAGCGGCGGACGGGUGAGUAACGCGUGGGUAACCUGCCCUGUACACACGGAUAACAUACCGAAAGGUAUGCUAAUACGAGAUAAUAUACUUUUAUCGCAUGGUAGAAGUAUCAAAGCUUUUGCGGUACAGGAUGGACCCGCGUCUGAUUAGCUAGUUGGUAAGGUAACGGCUUACCAAGGCGACGAUCAGUAGCCGACCUGAGAGGGUGAUCGGCCACAUUGGAACUGAGACACGGUCCAAACUCCUACGGGAGGCAGCAGUGGGGAAUAUUGCACAAUGGGCGAAAGCCUGAUGCAGCAACGCCGCGUGAGCGAUGAAGGCCUUCGGGUCGUAAAGCUCUGUCCUCAAGGAAGAUAAUGACGGUACUUGAGGAGGAAGCCCCGGCUAACUACGUGCCAGCAGCCGCGGUAAUACGUAGGGGGCUAGCGUUAUCCGGAAUUACUGGGCGUAAAGGGUGCGUAGGUGGUUUCUUAAGUCAGAGGUGAAAGGCUACGGCUCAACCGUAGUAAGCCUUUGAAACUGGGAAACUUGAGUGCAGGAGAGGAGAGUGGAAUUCCUAGUGUAGCGGUGAAAUGCGUAGAUAUUAGGAGGAACGCCAGUUGCGAAGGCGGCUCUCUGGACUGUAACUGACACUGAGGCACGAAAGCGUGGGGAGCAAACAGGAUUAGAUACCCUGGUAGUCCACGCCGUAAACGAUGAGUACUAGCUGUCGGAGGUUACCCCCUUCGGUGGCGCAGCUAACGCAUUAAGUACUCCGCCUGGGAAGUACGCUCGCAAGAGUGAAACUCAAAGGAAUUGACGG
RNAcentral lists this ribosomal RNA (879 nucleotides) under uncultured bacterium. RNAcentral describes it as "bacterial SSU rRNA". It matches the Rfam family "Bacterial small subunit ribosomal RNA", at positions 8 to 916 of the family's 1533-position model. The record is from RNAcentral.